This 258-nucleotide ribosomal RNA is filed under the name uncultured Desulfovibrio sp. RNAcentral describes it as "partial 16S ribosomal RNA". It matches the Rfam family "Bacterial small subunit ribosomal RNA", at positions 1125 to 1382 of the family's 1533-position model. Lineage: Bacteria; Pseudomonadati; Thermodesulfobacteriota; Desulfovibrionia; Desulfovibrionales; Desulfovibrionaceae. The record is from RNAcentral.
GUAAUGUUGGGCACUCUAAUGAGACUGCCCGGGUCAACCGGGAGGAAGGUGGGGAUGACGUCAAGUCAUCAUGGCCCUUACGCCUAGGGCUACACACGUACUACAAUGGCAGAUACAAAGGGCAGCGAAGCCGCGAGGCCAAGCCAAUCCCAAAAAAAUCUGUCUCAGUCCGGAUUGCAGUCUGCAACUCGACUGCAUGAAGCUGGAAUCGCUAGUAAUCCCGGAUCAGCAUGCCGGGUGAAUACGUUCCCGGGCCUU